This 2922-nucleotide ribosomal RNA is filed under the name Klebsiella pneumoniae. RNAcentral describes it as "LSU rRNA". It matches the Rfam family "Bacterial large subunit ribosomal RNA". Lineage: Bacteria; Pseudomonadati; Pseudomonadota; Gammaproteobacteria; Enterobacterales; Enterobacteriaceae. The record is from RNAcentral.
GGUUAAGCGACUAAGCGUACACGGUGGAUGCCCUGGCAGUCAGAGGCGAUGAAGGACGUGCUAAUCUGCGAAAAGCGUCGGUAAGGUGAUAUGAACCGUUAUAACCGGCGAUGUCCGAAUGGGGAAACCCAGUGCAAUUCGUUGCACUAUCGUUAACUGAAUACAUAGGUUAACGAGGCGAACCGGGGGAACUGAAACAUCUAAGUACCCCGAGGAAAAGAAAUCAACCGAGAUUCCCCCAGUAGCGGCGAGCGAACGGGGAGCAGCCCAGAGUCUGAAUCAGCUUGUGUGUUAGUGGAACGGUCUGGAAAGUCCGACGGUACAGGGUGAUAGUCCCGUACACCAAAAUGCACAGGCUGUGAACUCGAAGAGUAGGGCGGGACACGUGGUAUCCUGUCUGAAUAUGGGGGGACCAUCCUCCAAGGCUAAAUACUCCUGACUGACCGAUAGUGAACCAGUACCGUGAGGGAAAGGCGAAAAGAACCCCGGCGAGGGGAGUGAAAAAGAACCUGAAACCGUGUACGUACAAGCAGUGGGAGCACCUUCGGGUGUGACUGCGUACCUUUUGUAUAAUGGGUCAGCGACUUAUAUUCUGUAGCAAGGUUAACCGUAUAGGGGAGCCGCAGGGAAACCGAGUCUUAACUGGGCGUUAAGUUGCAGGGUAUAGACCCGAAACCCGGUGAUCUAGCCAUGGGCAGGUUGAAGGUUGGGUAACACUAACUGGAGGACCGAACCGACUAAUGUUGAAAAAUUAGCGGAUGACUUGUGGCUGGGGGUGAAAGGCCAAUCAAACCGGGAGAUAGCUGGUUCUCCCCGAAAGCUAUUUAGGUAGCGCCUCGUGAACUCAUCUUCGGGGGUAGAGCACUGUUUCGGCUAGGGGGUCAUCCCGACUUACCAACCCGAUGCAAACUACGAAUACCGAAGAAUGUUAUCACGGGAGACACACGGCGGGUGCUAACGUCCGUCGUGAAGAGGGAAACAACCCAGACCGCCAGCUAAGGUCCCAAAGUCAUGGUUAAGUGGGAAACGAUGUGGGAAGGCACAGACAGCCAGGAUGUUGGCUUAGAAGCAGCCAUCAUUUAAAGAAAGCGUAAUAGCUCACUGGUCGAGUCGGCCUGCGCGGAAGAUGUAACGGGGCUAAACCAUGCACCGAAGCUGCGGCAGCGACACUAUGUGUUGUUGGGUAGGGGAGCGUUCUGUAAGCCUGCGAAGGUGUGCUGUGAGGCAUGCUGGAGGUAUCAGAAGUGCGAAUGCUGACAUAAGUAACGAUAAAGCGGGUGAAAAGCCCGCUCGCCGGAAGACCAAGGGUUCCUGUCCAACGUUAAUCGGGGCAGGGUGAGUCGACCCCUAAGGCGAGGCCGAAAGGCGUAGUCGAUGGGAAACAGGUUAAUAUUCCUGUACUUGGUGUUACUGCGAAGGGGGGACGGAGAAGGCUAUGUUAGCCGGGCGACGGUUGUCCCGGUUUAAGCAUGUAGGCUGGUUAUCCAGGCAAAUCCGGAUAAUCAAGGCUGAGGUGUGAUGACGAGGCACUACGGUGCUGAAGUAACAAAUGCCCUGCUUCCAGGAAAAGCCUCUAAGCAUCAGGUAACAUCAAAUCGUACCCCAAACCGACACAGGUGGUCAGGUAGAGAAUACCAAGGCGCUUGAGAGAACUCGGGUGAAGGAACUAGGCAAAAUGGUGCCGUAACUUCGGGAGAAGGCACGCUGGUGUGUAGGUGAAGUCCCUGCGGAUGGAGCUGAGACCAGUCGAAGAUACCAGCUGGCUGCAACUGUUUAUUAAAAACACAGCACUGUGCAAACACGAAAGUGGACGUAUACGGUGUGACGCCUGCCCGGUGCCGGAAGGUUAAUUGAUGGGGUUAUCCGUAAGGAGAAGCUCUUGAUCGAAGCCCCGGUAAACGGCGGCCGUAACUAUAACGGUCCUAAGGUAGCGAAAUUCCUUGUCGGGUAAGUUCCGACCUGCACGAAUGGCGUAAUGAUGGCCAGGCUGUCUCCACCCGAGACUCAGUGAAAUUGAACUCGCUGUGAAGAUGCAGUGUACCCGCGGCAAGACGGAAAGACCCCGUGAACCUUUACUAUAGCUUGACACUGAACAUUGAGCCUUGAUGUGUAGGAUAGGUGGGAGGCUUUGAAGCGUGGACGCCAGUCUGCGUGGAGCCAACCUUGAAAUACCACCCUUUAAUGUUUGAUGUUCUAACGUUGGCCCCUGACCGGGGUUGCGGACAGUGUCUGGUGGGUAGUUUGACUGGGGCGGUCUCCUCCCAAAGCGUAACGGAGGAGCACGAAGGUUAGCUAAUCCUGGUCGGACAUCAGGAGGUUAGUGCAAUGGCAUAAGCUAGCUUGACUGCGAGCGUGACGGCGCGAGCAGGUGCGAAAGCAGGUCAUAGUGAUCCGGUGGUUCUGAAUGGAAGGGCCAUCGCUCAACGGAUAAAAGGUACUCCGGGGAUAACAGGCUGAUACCGCCCAAGAGUUCAUAUCGACGGCGGUGUUUGGCACCUCGAUGUCGGCUCAUCACAUCCUGGGGCUGAAGUAGGUCCCAAGGGUAUGGCUGUUCGCCAUUUAAAGUGGUACGCGAGCUGGGUUUAGAACGUCGUGAGACAGUUCGGUCCCUAUCUGCCGUGGGCGCUGGAGAAUUGAGGGGGGCUGCUCCUAGUACGAGAGGACCGGAGUGGACGCAUCACUGGUGUUCGGGUUGUCAUGCCAAUGGCACUGCCCGGUAGCUAAAUGCGGAAGAGAUAAGUGCUGAAAGCAUCUAAGCACGAAACUUGCCCCGAGAUGAGUUCUCCCUGAGACUAUAAGUCUCCUGAAGGAACGUUAAAGACGAUGACGUUGAUAGGCCGGGUGUGUAAGCGCAGCGAUGCGUUGAGCUAACCGGUACUAAUGAACCGUGAGGCUUAACCUUACAACGCCGAAGAUGUUUUG